AGCUCAGUGGAAGAGCGUAUGGCUCAUAACCAUAAGGCCGGGGGUUCGACUCCCCCC
RNAcentral lists this transfer RNA (57 nucleotides) under Candidatus Choladousia intestinavium. RNAcentral describes it as "tRNA-Met". It matches the Rfam family "tRNA", at positions 9 to 63 of the family's 71-position model. Rfam says of the family: Transfer RNA (tRNA) molecules are approximately 80 nucleotides in length. Their secondary structure includes four short double-helical elements and three loops (D, anti-codon, and T loops). The record is from RNAcentral. Lineage: Bacteria; Bacillati; Bacillota; Clostridia; Lachnospirales; Lachnospiraceae.